UGUGUGUGUGUGUGUUUUUAUUGGCAUUUAUUUGUAUAGUGCUCUCUGACCAAUAUAAUUAUUAUUUACUAGUAUAGAAUGGCUGUGCGUCUUCUUAUGAUAAUAUAUGUUUGCACACAAUUCAUGUGCUUGCUACAUUAGUAAUCAAUCAUGUCUUCUUAUAGCGUGCUAAUACCAUGCAUGGAAAUUGGGUUUGGUCAAAUUUGAGUUCCAUUUAAUUUGUGUUCUCAGGUUUUCAUGGGUUAAGUCUUUUAACUCUGUAGUUGAGGUUAUGAUCAACCCAAAAGUUUGACCUUAGAAAAAUUAUUAUACUGAUAUUAA
RNAcentral lists this unclassified non-coding RNA (321 nucleotides) under Hevea brasiliensis (rubber tree). Lineage: Eukaryota; Viridiplantae; Streptophyta; Magnoliopsida; Malpighiales; Euphorbiaceae. The record is from RNAcentral.